RNAcentral lists this transfer RNA (81 nucleotides) under Helianthus annuus (common sunflower). RNAcentral describes it as "tRNA-Leu". The record is from RNAcentral. Lineage: Eukaryota; Viridiplantae; Streptophyta; Magnoliopsida; Asterales; Asteraceae.
UUCUCUUUUGCCCAUGGCCUAGUGGUAGUUGGAUAAGGCUUUGAGACCAAUAGGUCAUGGGUUCGAUUCCCACAAGAGGAG